This is a long non-coding RNA of Argiope bruennichi, 169 nucleotides long. RefSeq lists it as uncharacterized. Lineage: Eukaryota; Metazoa; Arthropoda; Arachnida; Araneae; Araneidae. The record is from RefSeq and is a predicted model, not a curated record. The transcript is spliced from 2 exons.
AUAAUUUCUUUUUAAACAGAAGACGAAAAUAGUGGAACUGUCUUUGAUAAUAUUGCUAGCGACAUUAAUGGACUAUUUGGUUAAAGAAAAAAAAUAUGCAAGAUGACACUGCGAAAAAGGAUGUAUAAUAUUUUCCGAUCUUAAAAUAAAGUUUAUUGUUGCAUUCAAA